This is a long non-coding RNA of Nerophis ophidion (straightnose pipefish), 779 nucleotides long. RefSeq lists it as uncharacterized. NCBI's taxonomy places the organism in Eukaryota, Metazoa, Chordata, Actinopteri, Syngnathiformes, Syngnathidae. The transcript has 2 exons. The record is from RefSeq and is a predicted model, not a curated record.
UUUUUUUUUUUAAAGCCGUGUUGUUUGUGAAAAAAAUGUCUGCCGAACUACCAACAAAUAGCUUCACGGCUGAGGCACCACCCGCAGCAUUAUCGAGCGCCUCUUCUACCACAUGGACAACGGGUCAAAAGGAGGAAAAGAGUCACCACGCAUGACCAUUUCAACAAGGACGGAAUACACCACCAAACCCCCCAAACUUGUUUUUAUUGAGGACCACGUUGUGGUUACGGCUGUUCUCCAAAGGCCGUUUGUUACAGUGAAUAUAUAUGAAUAUUAUUAUUGUAUAAUCUCAUGAUAUUAUUACACAAACUGAUGUAAAAUGUACUUGCUAUUGAAAUAUAGAGGUGUCCAAACUUUUUCACCAAGGGUCGCAUCCUAAAAAGUUGAAGACUGCAGGGGCCUUUUUGAUGAUUUUUUCCAUCCAUCCAUUUUCUAUCGCUUAGUCCCUUUGGGGUCGUGGGGGCGCUGGUGCCUAUCUCAGCUACAACCGGGCGGAAGGCGGUGUACACCCUGGACAAGUCGCCAAUUUUUUAUUUUAUAAAAAGAAACGCUAAAAAACACAUAUGACAUAUCUAAAUUCUUAAUGUCAGCUUUGUGUUGUAAAUCAGUUGUCCCCAACCUUUUUGUAGCUGCGGACCGGUCAACACUUGAUAAUUUGUCCUGCGGCUUUGUCAUGAAAAAGGGAGGUUUUUAGGUUGGUGCACUGAUUGUAAGUGUAUCUUGUGUUUUUUAUGUUGAUUUAAUAAAAAAAUUUAAAUAAACUGUUGUAAAUGACAAAA